GUCUUCAUAGAACAAAUUAUUUGCUAAUGAUUAUGAUGAAAGUUCUACAUUGACGGAGAUAUCUGCGGCACAAAUGGUUAAUCAGUCGUCGGUGCGAUUACAGCAUUAUGCACGUCAAUAUAAUGUAAUUACUCUGGCUUAAGGCGCGAUUAAUCAACUGUUCCUUUCUAUGGUAGUGUCUCUGGAGAAUUUGAAGCUGCGUCGCGUACUUAAAAAGCAAUUGUCAAUUGUCGGCGUUUGCCUUAAAUUUAGUAAAAAAAAUCAAAUCAAGAAUGAAUGGAUAGUAACCGAUGAUUUUUCCAUUUAAGAAGGCGGAGUCAUAUGUAAUCGGAAUCGCUUUUUAACUGAAUGAUUAGAAUGGAUGAACUUUAAUCCGCUACUUACAUUUUUGGCAUCAUACUGAUUUCUGGAAGGGACCGCAAUAAAACAUAAACGAUUGCACCUGUCUCUCGCAACCCUGCCUACCGUGAGAUUACCUGCAUUUAAGAAGGCAUCGACGAUCAGGGAGCUUGUGCAGCUUUGUUCUUAUGUGAUCAAUACAGAUCUAACACUGAAGUCGUGAGCGAUCAAUCGUGAAGGAAGGCGAAAGAUUUGUUUCCUUCCAAUUAUUUUUCGACGCCGAUAGAUACAAAAAGGAUACAUAAAGCUCGAUUACGCUUCGGAAUUCAUAUUGGACUAGUUUUGAGAAUUUUCGCGUCGAUGGAUCUCACCUCUGGCAACACGAGCAGCAAGAUGAAUGCAUGGAUAGCGUAUUAAAAGGGUCGGGUCUCUUCUCAAAGAAUAUCGGUGAUUUCGAUGCCUUUCGGAGUGUGCUCCGCGGAGUGGGAUACGAUGUCUCGACACGGUCGCCGUAUCCUAUUAUCGGACUCGUGGCUCACGAUCGCUCAUAAUUUUUUAUCUCGGCCGCAUUCUCGCAUCCGACCUGUAGAACACGUUUAUUUUGACCUCAGGAAUUGGCACGCUGUAUACAGAGGGUGUUUCACGAUUGCUGUUUUGUGAUUUUCCUCCUCAGCCUAUUCCUUAUUUGUGCGUUGAAUUCGUUGAGAUGUAAUGUCAAAACAACAUUAUCGACUACGAUUUCUAAAUAUGGAUCCAAAGUUCGACCGUUGUAUUUCAAAUCGAGACAUACGUCUUUCUCUCUAUCGUAUGGUGAACGCAAUGCCUAUCGGGACGCGAUCAUCGCUUCAUUUACGGUGAAACUUGAGUACAGUGACCGUAAGCUGGAUUGUUAAUCGGCAACUUAUGUGUCAAUCGGCAAUCCGAUGAUUUCAGCGCAUUCGCUACGGCUUACGUAUUUGCGUGCGGUAUUUUUUAUGGAAACAUUACAGUACACAUUGAAACUGCAACUAUAUGGACGCGUAACAUUCGCGAUCACAAAUGUGAAACUGUAGAACGAUUUCGCGGAUUAGCUUUUUGUAACUCAUCUUACGUAAUCAAGUCAAAUCUUCGGGUAACCGGAUCUGAACUCUUCGCCACGAUAUAAUUUAUAAUUAUUCGAAUAUCCAGAUGGUGUAAGUAAAAACGCGCGCUUAAACUUUUGACAAGAUAAUAGCUUCCAUUAAUAACUCUGUCAGUGGAAAGAGCAAAAAUAUUAAAUUUUACAUCAUAUAUAGGCCACAUUUCGCGUAAUAGAUCAACUCGGGUUGCCCAGAGAUACUCAGAGUUUCCGACCCAGCACGUGUACGCACGAAUCGGGCUGGCCGAUGAUGCCGCUCCGGAGAUGCUCAACGCAUAACGAUUAUGCAACGAAGCCGCUCGAUUGCGCGAAGUUUGCUCUCCAUAGAGAUACGUUCGAUUGCUGACGACGGCGAUGACGACCCCGCGGCAUUCGGGUAUAAUUCUCGCGUCGAAAGAGCCGAUAUAAUUACAAGGGAGAAUGUACAGCCGAUACA
This is a long non-coding RNA of Cataglyphis hispanica, 1892 nucleotides long. RefSeq lists it as uncharacterized. NCBI's taxonomy places the organism in Eukaryota, Metazoa, Arthropoda, Insecta, Hymenoptera, Formicidae. The record is from RefSeq and is a predicted model, not a curated record. The transcript is spliced from 3 exons.